This 64-nucleotide transfer RNA is filed under the name Dipodomys ordii (Ord's kangaroo rat). It matches the Rfam family "tRNA". Rfam says of the family: Transfer RNA (tRNA) molecules are approximately 80 nucleotides in length. Their secondary structure includes four short double-helical elements and three loops (D, anti-codon, and T loops). The record is from Rfam by way of RNAcentral. Lineage: Eukaryota; Metazoa; Chordata; Mammalia; Rodentia; Heteromyidae.
GGUGGCUCAGUGGUAGAGUGUUUGCCUUGUAUGCAUGAGGCCCUGGGUUUGAUUCUCUGUACCA